CCCGCCCCCAGGACACAUGACAUGUAUGUUAGAGGGUCACACACGGUCCCCCCUCUGAUCUUUAUUACAGACAUUUUUUAUAUCCUGUAGAUUUAGGAUGGAAAUACCUCUAAACAGAAUUUCCUAUAAGAACAGGAUUACUGUAUAUAAAGGAUCUCAUCAUAAUAAAAUGAUUAGAUGUAUGUGAUAUUUAUAUCGUAUUUUAUUAAACUAUGUGUGGCAUUGAAUACUUUUGGGUUGUAUGACAUAAAUCUAUUCAAAAAUAACACUAAUUUAUAUAUCCAAAGGUAUUUAACAUUGCUGCAGACAUUUUCCUUCCAUACUUCUGUAGACAGCUUCUAGUUGUCAUUAUGACAUCACGAUGAUGUAACGAUACUGAGCCGGGUAUGUAAAGGGAGACCGGCCGGCUGAGUCCUUUGAGGGUUGUAGGUGAGCAGAGGAGGUUGUGUUCCUGAGGUUCAGUUGGUGCAGUUUGUGGUUGCGGCCAUUAUGGCAGUGUACAUUUUUGGGCGAGUGCUGAAUUACAUCUGGCACAAAAUGAUGGAUUGGGGCAGAGGGAGUCUGGAGAGGAAAAGAGAGCCUGACCCCGAGAAUCCAUUGGAAGAUCCAAUUGAAAAUCCAUUAAAAGAUUCCUUUGAAGAUCCAUGGUAUGAAAUUAAGGAGGAAGAGAUAAUUGAAUGGAUCAAUCCAGUGGCGGGCUAAGGGCUAAAGAAAAAAAACAUGUAGAAGAUUCCAUCAUACUUACAAUGUUUAUUUAACAUCAAACUAUAAUAUAAAAUCAGUUAAAAAAUAAACAUUAAAAAAUCU
Molecule: long non-coding RNA, 807 nt
Organism: Hyla sarda
Lineage: Eukaryota; Metazoa; Chordata; Amphibia; Anura; Hylidae
Exons: 3
Source: RefSeq, a predicted model, not a curated record